GGGCCCGCACAAGCGGUGGAGCAUGUGGUUUAAUUCGAUGAUACGCGAGGAACCUUACCAGGGCUUAAAUGUAGUGGGACAGGUCUAGAGAUAGACCCUUCUUCGGACUCAUUACAAGGUGCUGCAUGGUUGUCGUCAGCUCGUGCCGUGAGGUGUCAGGUUAAGUCCUAUAACGAGCGCAACCCCUAUCGUUAGUUGCCAGCGAGUAAUGUCGGGAACUCUAACGAAACUGCCAGUGCAAACUGUGAGGAAGGUGGGGAUGACGUCAAAUCAUCACGGCCCUUACGUCCUGGGCUACACACGUGCUACAAUGGUCGGUACAGAGAGCAGCCACUACGCGAGUAGGAGCAAAUCUUCAAAGCCGAUCUCAGUUCGGAUUGUCGUCUGCAACUCGACGGCAUGAAGUCGGAAUCGCUAGUAAUCGCGUAA
RNAcentral lists this ribosomal RNA (429 nucleotides) under uncultured bacterium. RNAcentral describes it as "bacterial SSU rRNA". It matches the Rfam family "Bacterial small subunit ribosomal RNA", at positions 917 to 1349 of the family's 1533-position model. The record is from RNAcentral.